CCCUUAGAUGUUCUGGGUCGCACGCGCGCUACACUGAUGCAUUCAACAAGCCUAGCCUUGACCGAGAGGUCCGGGUAAUCUUUGAAACUGCAUCGUGAUGGGGCUAGAUUAUUGCAAUUAUUAAUCUUCAACGAGGAAUGCCUAGUAAGCGUGAUUCAUCAAAUCGCGUUGAUUACGUCCCUGCCCUUUGUACACACCGCCCGUCGCUCCUACCGAUUGAAUGUGUUGGUGAGGAGCUCGGAUUGGCAGCAGUUGGUGGUUCGCCACCGGCUAUUGCUGAGAAGUCCUCCAAACCGCCCCAUUUAGAGGAAGGAGAANUCGUAACA
This 326-nucleotide ribosomal RNA is filed under the name uncultured eukaryote. RNAcentral's name for it is "partial 18S ribosomal RNA". It matches the Rfam family "Eukaryotic small subunit ribosomal RNA", at positions 1470 to 1796 of the family's 1831-position model. The record is from RNAcentral.